Molecule: non-coding RNA, 104 nt
Organism: Peziza echinospora
Lineage: Eukaryota; Fungi; Ascomycota; Pezizomycetes; Pezizales; Pezizaceae
Source: the annotation of a GenBank genome assembly
GCCCGGUUGGCUCAGUCGGUAGAGCGUGUGACUCUUACUUUGUUUCCAGUUAUGGUUACAGAUAAGUUAUCUCAAGGUCGCGAGUUCGAGCCUCGCAUUGGGCU